UACGUAGGGUGCGAGCGUUAAUCGGAAUUACUGGGCGUAAAGCGUGCGCAGGCGGUUCGUUGUGUCGGCGGUGAAAGCCCCGGGCUUAACCUGGGAAUGGCCGUUGAAACUGGCGAACUGGAGUGUGGCAGAGGGGGGUGGAAUUCCGCGUGUAGCAGUGAAAUGCGUAGAGAUGCGGAGGAGCACCGAUGGCGAAGGCAGCCCCCUGGGCUAACACUGACGCUCAGGCACGAAAGCGUGGGGAGCAAACAGG
This 253-nucleotide ribosomal RNA is filed under the name uncultured bacterium. RNAcentral's name for it is "partial 16S ribosomal RNA". It matches the Rfam family "Bacterial small subunit ribosomal RNA", at positions 524 to 776 of the family's 1533-position model. The record is from RNAcentral.